Molecule: ribosomal RNA, 346 nt
Filed under: uncultured bacterium
Lineage: Bacteria
Description: partial 16S ribosomal RNA
Rfam family: Bacterial small subunit ribosomal RNA
Source: RNAcentral
CCUACGGGAGGCUGCAGUGAGGAAUAUUGGUCAAUGGGCGCGAGCCUGAACCAGCCAAGUAGCGUGAAGGAUGACUGCCCUACGGGUUGUAAACUUCUUGUAUAAAGGAAUAAAGUGAGGCAAGUGGGCCUUUUUGUAUGUACUUUAUGAAUAAGGAUCGGCUAACGCCGGGCCAGCAGCCGCGGUAAUACGGAGGAUCCGAGCGUUAUCCGGAUUUAUUGGGUUUAAGGGGAGCGUAGAUGGGUUGUUAAGUCAGUUGUGAAAGUUUGCGGCUCAACCGUAAAAUUGCACUUGAUACUGGCAGUCUUGAGUACAGUUGAGGUAGGCUGAAUUCGUGUUGUAGCGG